GGGUACCCAUAAAACCCAUUUUCAUUCAGAUAUCUUGAGGUUAGAGGUCAAAGGACCCCUUUGAAAAUGGCUAUACCAUUUUUUUCCUCGCCAAACUUUUGCGAAAGUUUGGAGCGUUAUUUAGCGUCCUUCGCGACUAGCUAGUAUGACA
Long non-coding RNA from Sebastes umbrosus (honeycomb rockfish), 151 nucleotides. RefSeq lists it as uncharacterized. The transcript has 3 exons. The record is from RefSeq and is a predicted model, not a curated record. NCBI's taxonomy places the organism in Eukaryota, Metazoa, Chordata, Actinopteri, Perciformes, Sebastidae.